This is a long non-coding RNA of Homo sapiens (human), 310 nucleotides long. RefSeq lists it as uncharacterized. The record is from RefSeq and is a predicted model, not a curated record. The transcript is spliced from 3 exons. Lineage: Eukaryota; Metazoa; Chordata; Mammalia; Primates; Hominidae.
UGGACUCUUGCUAAUUAAAGUAAGGUACACGGAAACAGAACAUCAACAUCAUCCUAGAACUUGUUAGAAAUGCAGAAUCUGGGGCUCCAUCCCAGACCUUCCAGGAAAAGCCUCUUUCCUCUUCUUCUGGGUUGGUGCUAGGCCUCCCAGAGGAGCAAAUCAUGACUGAUGGGGAGAAGAAGGCAACACAGCUUCAAAGACCUGCCCCAAAUCCAUCAAAAACAGCUGGAUUAAUUCCCAGAGAAUGGAGUCAUUUUCCUGAUGGGAACUCUUAGCACUGAUUGGAAGGAGGAGAUUAGCGGGCUUUUCA